UGUAAGCGUAUACCAAAGUUGUUGCAGUUAAAGCGCUCGUAGUCGGAAUUUGGCAGUUCCGGAUGUGUGCACGUCGUGUGCGCACUUCGCGGGGAUUGCUUUUGUGGUCUUGCGUAGGAUGAGGCACUUUUAUUAGUGAACGUCCUCACGCAACCACUUUUUACUGUGAGAAAAUCAGAGUGCUCAAAGCAGGCAUUUGCCGUGAAUGUAUUAGCAUGGAAUAAUAGAAUAGGACUUGGUUCUAUUUUGUUGGUUUGUUGGGACUGAGUAAUGAUUAAGAGGGACAGUUGGGGGCAUUUGUAUUUCGGUGCUAGAGGUGAAAUUCUUAGAUUACCGAAAGACAAACUGCUGCGAAAGCGUCUGCCAAGGAUGUAUUCAUUGA
This 382-nucleotide ribosomal RNA is filed under the name uncultured eukaryote. RNAcentral describes it as "partial 18S ribosomal RNA". It matches the Rfam family "Eukaryotic small subunit ribosomal RNA", at positions 592 to 976 of the family's 1831-position model. The record is from RNAcentral.